AGCACUGCAUGGUGUCUGCACCCAGCAGCGUUUUCUUGCUGGGGUGUUCAAAGGAGAGUGUGAUAGAAAUUCAGUAUCUUGCAACGUUGGCUUUCUUGGUUUUGUGCAUGUUAAACCUGGUAUUUCUAUUGAUACAAUU
Molecule: small nucleolar RNA, 139 nt
Organism: Echinops telfairi (small Madagascar hedgehog)
Lineage: Eukaryota; Metazoa; Chordata; Mammalia; Afrosoricida; Tenrecidae
Product: small nucleolar RNA SNORA8
Exons: 1
Source: RefSeq, a predicted model, not a curated record